Molecule: non-coding RNA, 58 nt
Organism: Salmo salar (Atlantic salmon)
Lineage: Eukaryota; Metazoa; Chordata; Actinopteri; Salmoniformes; Salmonidae
Source: Rfam
UGGCUCAAUUGGUAGAGAAUGGUGCUUGCAAUGCCAAGGUUGUGGGUUUGAUUCCCAU